Molecule: ribosomal RNA, 253 nt
Filed under: uncultured bacterium
Lineage: Bacteria
Description: partial 16S ribosomal RNA
Rfam family: Bacterial small subunit ribosomal RNA
Source: RNAcentral
UACGAAGGGGGCUAGCGUUGCUCGGAAUCACCGGGCGUAAAGCGCACGUAGGCGGAUUCUUAAGUCAGGGGUGAAAUCCUGGAGCUCAACUCCAGAACUGCCUUUGAUACUGGGAAUCUCGAGUCCGGGAGAGGUGAGUGGAACUGCGAGUGUAGAGGUGAAAUUCGUAGAUAUUCGCAAGAACACCAGUGGCGAAGGCGGCUCACUGGCCCGGUACUGACGCUGAGGUGCGAAAGCGUGGGGAGCGAACAGG